RNAcentral lists this ribosomal RNA (1369 nucleotides) under uncultured bacterium. RNAcentral describes it as "bacterial SSU rRNA". It matches the Rfam family "Bacterial small subunit ribosomal RNA", at positions 28 to 1381 of the family's 1533-position model. The record is from RNAcentral.
GACGAACGCUGGCGGCGUGCCUAAUACAUGCAAGUAGAACGCUGAAGGGAGGAGCUUGCUCUUCUUGGAUGAGUUGCGAACGGGUGAGUAACGCGUAGGUAACCUGCCUUGUAGCGGGGGAUAACUAUUGGAAACGAUAGCUAAUACCGCAUAACAAUGGACGACCCAUGUCAUUUAUUUGAAAGGGGCAAAUGCUCCACUACAAGAUGGACCUGCGUUGUAUUAGCUAGUAGGUGAGGUAACGGCUCACCUAGGCGACGAUACAUAGCCGACCUGAGAGGGUGAUCGGCCACACUGGGACUGAGACACGGCCCAGACUCCUACGGGAGGCAGCAGUAGGGAAUCUUCGGCAAUGGGGGCAACCCUGACCGAGCAACGCCGCGUGAGUGAAGAAGGUUUUCGGAUCGUAAAGCUCUGUUGUAAGUCAAGAACGAGUGUGAGAGUGGAAAGUUCACACUGUGACGGUAGCUUACCAGAAAGGGACGGCUAACUACGUGCCAGCAGCCGCGGUAAUACGUAGGUCCCGAGCGUUGUCCGGAUUUAUUGGGCGUAAAGCGAGCGCAGGCGGUUUGAUAAGUCUGAAGUUAAAGGCUGUGGCUCAACCAUAGUUCGCUUUGGAAACUGUCAAACUUGAGUGCAGAAGGGGAGAGUGGAAUUCCAUGUGUAGCGGUGAAAUGCGUAGAUAUAUGGAGGAACACCGGUGGCGAAGGCGGCUCUCUGGUCUGUAACUGACGCUGAGGCUCGAAAGCGUGGGGAGCGAACAGGAUUAGGUACCCUGGUAGUCCACGCCAUAAACGAUGAGUGCUAGGUGUUGGAUCCUUUCCGGGAUUCAGUGCCGCAGCUAACGCAUUAAGCACUCCGCCUGGGGAGUACGACCGCAAGGUUGAAACUCAAAGGAAUUGACGGGGGCCCGCACAAGCGGUGGAGCAUGUGGUUUAAUUCGAAGCAACGCGAAGAACCUUACCAGGUCUUGACAUCCCGAUGCUAUUUCUAGAGAUAGGAAGUUACUUCGGUACAUCGGUGACAGGUGGUGCAUGGUUGUCGUCAGCUCGUGUCGUGAGAUGUUGGGUUAAGUCCCGCAACGAGCGCAACCCCUAUUGUUAGUUGCCAUCAUUCAGUUGGGCACUCUAGCAAGACUGCCGGUAAUAAACCGGAGGAAGGUGGGGAUGACGUCAAAUCAUCAUGCCCCUUAUGACCUGGGCUACACACGUGCUACAAUGGUUGGUACAACGAGUUGCGAGUCGGUGACGGCGAGCUAAUCUCUUAAAGCCAAUCUCAGUUCGGAUUGUAGGCUGCAACUCGCCUACAUGAAGUCGGAAUCGCUAGUAAUCGCGGAUCAGCACGCAGCGGUGAAUACGUUCCCGGGCCU